RNAcentral lists this long non-coding RNA (2841 nucleotides) under Triticum aestivum (bread wheat). RNAcentral describes it as "long non-coding RNA (TAES_LNC018203)". Lineage: Eukaryota; Viridiplantae; Streptophyta; Magnoliopsida; Poales; Poaceae. The record is from RNAcentral.
UCAUGGCACCUAUAUUUAUUCCACCUGGAGGGGGGGGGCUUCCGAUAAAUACCGAGGUCCUCCUAAAUUAUUGUUAAGUCCUCUGGAACUUUUCCCACAUAUCCGGUUUACCAGAUUUUCUCCAAAAAACUUACAGUUUUCCUGAAACACUUUCGAUUCUCUCCCGAAAUAAUUUUCGUUAUCUCCGAAACUUUUUCGGUGAUAUACUCCGAUACUUCUAACUCAAUUACCACUCAACAUAUCAAAGAAUCUUAAGUGUGUGAUCCUACAGGUUCAGUGAAAUAUAGACAUGACCGAAAAACCUUUCGGUUAAUGAUCAAUAGUGGAACCAUGGACAUCCAUAUUGAUCUCUAUACUCACAUGAAGCUGUAGCUCCCAUAUGCUAUUCCUUUUGCUUCACGAUACUUACACAACCUGAGGUGAGAUAUAUCGGUGUCCCCCAUUGUGGCACCCCGACUCAGAGAAACCAGAACGCCCCGUAUUCCAGCCCAGAGAUCGAGAUGAAGUCUUCUGUAAUACAACACUGCUUGACAUAGAACAAAUCGGCUCUUAUUACAAAGGAUAAAUACACGGGUCUGAUGUUACAAAGGAUCACAUCAGCACGGCGACACUAUGCCUGCGAUACUACACUUGCUCUAUGCUAGCAGCGGAACAACUCGAAGCAGCGGAAUACUUCUAGCCGCGGAACAACGACGAAGGUGGUGAACUCCACUCCGCAGGGACUCUGGCUGGGACACGAUCUAGCUCGCACAAACGGAAACCUUGGCAAACAAUCAAGCAAUCACAGCAUCACCUGCAAUCUGGCAUGACACGCCAGGUCAGUACAUUGAAUGUACUUGCAAGCUCACAACAACCAAAAGCAUCAAGGCAAGACAAUAACAUAGCAUUAGCAGAUUAAUUAAUUAACAGCUACCAUGAUAAAGCAACUACUAAACAUGAUAUGAAACUACUACCAUACUGAUAAACCACCAUCUUAAUCUCAAAGAACCAUCUCACGCUUGGCUAUCCGGCCAAGUACUAUACCAUCUCUAUCACCUUGUGAUCAAUACCUCCACGUGAUCAGCGUGACGACAUCACAAACUGAAUGAUCAUCCUCGAGAUCAUCCCAACAACAUCAUCAACAUCCUGCCAAACGGUUACAGCUCACAAUAUAUCAACAUAUAAAUCAUCUAAAGUCAUUCCGUCAUGUGAGUGUUGAUUGAACGGUGUGACCUAGUACGAACUUAUGCCCAUGACCGAGGACGCGGCUAUCGAUAGAUUAAACACACACACUCUGCAGAGGUAACGCACUUUACCCACACCACAUAACCCAUGGCCUCGCACUCCCAUUCGGGUGGACCAACGGCGUUCCGACAAAACCGAUCUACUGCCAUGGCACUCUCCCGUCCACUCCGACCAACACCCCUUUUGGGUUCAGUCCUGGGUGGCCCCGUGCCUACCAAAGGCAUCAACGGCCACCAUCGUGGCAAAACAAAAAGGUCCCAAACGGGGACAAAAAGGGCCCUAUCCAACUACGGACACACAAGGCUUAUGUCCGCCUACCUGAUCAGGGUAGCGCACACCCAUAACCUUCCCUCGUUGGAGGCACCGGCGAGAGGCACGAUAAUAGCAUCGCAUUAGGGCCUUCCCAUAAAAGGCAAAUGUGGUUGCACUGGAAAAGCCCGGUUCGGUGGCACCUGACCAACUAAAUGACGGAAUUUAUCCCCCCAAAUAUACCUGAGAUACCUGAUACUCCGAUAUCAUCUAUCAAACUAUAAUCCAAGUCAUAGCAAUAACCAACAAAUAAUCCAAAGCAUACUAGCGUCACAUCAAAAUACUCCGAGGGCGACAUAUCACUACUAUCAAGAUGAAUCCAAGAACGAUAAUGCUACUACUCCAAUAGUAAGAACUAGCUAUCCAGCUAAGAUCCACAUGCAAGCAUCAUCUCCGAAAUCAACUAGCAUCAUGAUGAAAUAAUACUAGCCACUAAUAAUCCAAAGGCAGCAUGACAUUCAAAGUAAUACUCCAAAAUAAUACCAGAUACCAACAUGAAAAUGAUCACAAUAUGAGCCACUAAUAAUCCAAAGGCAACAUGACAACCUCAUAAGCUGCAAAAUAUUAGUCCUAGAACUCCAAGCAAACUCAUGGCAAAGGCAAGAUUGAAAUAACUCCGAGAAAAUGCCAUGAACAGAUCACAUGCAGCUAAAGCAAAUUUUAAACAAGUUCAAAUAAUUUAAACCAUGGCAUUGCAUUGCAAUCAUGCAAAUGGAGGGUGUGGCUUGCCUGGGGUGAAGGGAUUCAUCGGGAAGAAGUGCGAGAAACUCGCGGAAAGAAUCACCGGAAAACGUUCUCUCUCGGAGGGGGUUGAUUUAGUGCAGGGGCAAAAUGGUCAUUUUCAGGAUGUUAAAACAUGGUGAAAAUGAUACCAACAGAAUGGACUCGACAAGACGAAUAAGUGGGCUUUGGAAUCACCUCAUUUGGAAUUACGGGUAAAAAGUUGUGGCCGUUCACUUUUUAGGCUGAAAAGGGGCUAAACAGUGAACGCUCACAAUAUAAUCACUUCGGCCGGCUGGGCUGAAAAACAGAAAGCGUCUUUCAGAAAUACGCCUUCAGACAAGUGAAAACUCACUUUAAUCUAAAGAAGCACAAAAAUACGCUUUCGGGAACUGAAGACGUAAUCCAGAGGAUUACGCCUCCACUUAUCCACGUCAGCAUACCUGGGGUCCGCGCGUGGAGUGGCUGACGAGUGGGGUCACGCGGCCCACUGGCCAGCUGGCGAUGGUGGCGCCAUCUCCUUCCUCUUGCACGCGCCUGGCCGGAGCAGAGCCGGCCCCGACGAGGCCUGCCGGCGCUACAGGGCAC